This is a small nucleolar RNA of Phyllostomus discolor (pale spear-nosed bat), 100 nucleotides long. RefSeq annotates it as small nucleolar RNA U13. The transcript has a single exon. Lineage: Eukaryota; Metazoa; Chordata; Mammalia; Chiroptera; Phyllostomidae. The record is from RefSeq and is a predicted model, not a curated record.
GCCCUUGUGUAGUUCACACGCGUGAUGGUUGGGUGUCCACGCUCUUGCGACACGUGCCUCCCAAACCUUGUUACGACAUCGGCACGUUACCCGUCUGACA